GAUGAACGCUGGCGGCGUGCCUAAUACAUGCAAGUCGAGCGAACAGACGAGGAGCUCGCUCCUCUGACGUUAGCGGCGGACGGGUGAGUAACACGUGGAUAACCUACCUAUAAGACUGGGAUAACUUCGGGAAACCGGAGCUAAUACCGGAUAAUAUAUUGAACCGCAUGGUUCAAUAGUGAAAGACGGUUUUGCUGUCACUUAUAGAUGGAUCCGCGCCGCAUUAGCUAGUUGGUAAGGUAACGGCUUACCAAGGCAACGAUGCGUAGCCGACCUGAGAGGGUGAUCGGCCACACUGGAACUGAGACACGGUCCAGACUCCUACGGGAGGCAGCAGUAGGGAAUCUUCCGCAAUGGGCGAAAGCCUGAUGGAGCAACGCCGCGUGAGUGAUGAAGGUCUUCGGAUCGUAAAACUCUGUUAUUAGGGAAGAACAAAUGUGUAAGUAACUAUGCACGUCUUGACGGUACCUAAUCAGAAAGCCACGGCUAACUACGUG
Molecule: ribosomal RNA, 497 nt
Filed under: uncultured bacterium
Lineage: Bacteria
Description: partial 16S ribosomal RNA
Rfam family: Bacterial small subunit ribosomal RNA
Source: RNAcentral